AGAGUUUGAUCAUGGCUCAGGAUGAACGUUGGCGGCGUGCCUAACACAUGCAAGUCGAGCGAAGCACUUUACUCUGAUUUCUUCGGAUUGAAGAGGGAUUUGACUGAGCGGCGGACGGGUGAGUAACGCGUGGGUAACCUGCCUCACACAGGGGGAUAACAGUUAGAAAUGACUGCUAAUACCGCAUAAGGCCACAGCACCGCAUGGUGCAGGGGUAAAAACUCCGGUGGUGUGAGAUGGGCCCGCGUCUGAUUAGUUAGUUGGCGGGGUAACGGCCCACCAAGACGACGAUCAGUAGCCGACCUGAGAGGGUGACCGGCCACAUUGGGACUGAGACACGGCCCAAACUCCUACGGGAGGCAGCAGUGGGGAAUAUUGCACAAUGGGGGAAACCCUGAUGCAGCGACGCCGCGUGAGCGAAGAAGUAUUUCGGUAUGUAAAGCUCUAUCAGCAGGGAAGAAACUGACGGUACCUGACUAAGAAGCACCGGCUAAAUACGUGCCAGCAGCCGCGGUAAUACGUAUGGUGCAAGCGUUAUCCGG
This 542-nucleotide ribosomal RNA is filed under the name uncultured bacterium. Its description in RNAcentral is "bacterial SSU rRNA". It matches the Rfam family "Bacterial small subunit ribosomal RNA", at positions 8 to 548 of the family's 1533-position model. The record is from RNAcentral.